Molecule: ribosomal RNA, 447 nt
Filed under: uncultured bacterium
Lineage: Bacteria
Description: partial 16S ribosomal RNA
Rfam family: Bacterial small subunit ribosomal RNA
Source: RNAcentral
AACGAACGCUGGCGGCAGGCCUAACACAUGCAAGUCGAGCGCCCCGCAAGGGGAGCGGCGGACGGGUGAGUAACGCGUGGGAACGUGCCUCUUGCUACGGAAUAGCCUCGGGAAACUGGGAGUAAUACCGUAUGUGCCCUACGGGGGAAAGAUUUAUCGGCAAGAGAUCGGCCCGCGUUGGAUUAGGUAGUUGGUGGGGUAAUGGCCUACCAAGCCGACGAUCCAUAGCUGGUUUGAGAGGAUGAUCAGCCACACUGGGACUGAGACACGGCCCAGACUCCUACGGGAGGCAGCAGUGGGGAAUCUUAGACAAUGGGCGCAAGCCUGAUCUAGCCAUGCCGCGUGAGCGAUGAAGGCCUUAGGGUUGUAAAGCUCUUUCAGUGGGGAAGAUAAUGACUGUACCCACAGAAGAAGCCCCGGCUAACUCCGUGCCAGCAGCCGCCGUAA